Molecule: ribosomal RNA, 89 nt
Filed under: Ailuropoda melanoleuca (giant panda)
Lineage: Eukaryota; Metazoa; Chordata; Mammalia; Carnivora; Ursidae
Source: RNAcentral
CUACGGCCACACCACCCUGAACACGCCCCAUCUCCUCUGAUCUCGGAAGCUAAGCAGGGUCGGGCCUGGUUAGUACUUGGAUGGGAGAC